RNAcentral lists this ribosomal RNA (1428 nucleotides) under marine metagenome. Its description in RNAcentral is "bacterial LSU rRNA". It matches the Rfam family "Bacterial large subunit ribosomal RNA", at positions 660 to 2005 of the family's 2925-position model. The record is from RNAcentral.
GGGUAGCCGGAGCGAAAGCGAGUCUGAAUAGGGCGUUCAGUCGCUAGCUGUAGACCCGAAGCCGAGUGAUCUAGCCAUGGGCAGGUUGAAGCGGGGGUAAGACCCCGUGGAGGACCGAACACACGUCAGUUGAAAAUGGCGGUGAUGACCUGUGGUUAGGGGCGAAAGACCAAUCAAACUCGGCGAUAGCUGGUUCUCCUCGAAAUGCAUUUAGGUGCAGCGUCAUGCGUUCAGUUAUGGAGGUAGAGCACUGGAUGGGUUAGGGGACCUACAAGUUUACCGACCCCAGCCAAACUCCGAAUUACAUAACUCCAGAGCAUGGCAGUGAGACCACGGGGGAUGAGCUUCGUUGGUCGAAAGGGAAACAGCCCAGAUCAUCAGCUAAGGCCCCUAAUUCAGGACUAAGUGGAAAACGAUGUGGAUUUGCACAGACAGCCAGGAGGUUGGCUUAGAAGCAGCCAUCCUUGAAAGAGUGCGUAACAGCUCACUGGUCGAGUGAAUCUGCGCGGACAAUUUAACGGGGCUCAAGUCCUGAGCCGAAGCUAUGGAUUUCAACAUUUAUGUUGGAGUGGUAGAGGAGCGUUGAUGAUGCGACUGAAGCGACGGGAUAACCCGGCGUGGAGUGUCAUCAAGUGAGAAUGUAGGCAUGAGUAGCGAGAGAGGGGUGAGAAACCCCUCCGCCGUAAGCCCAAGGGUUCCUGGGGAAGGCUAAUCCUCCCAGGGUAAGUCGGGAGCUAAGACGAGGCCGUGAGGCGUAGUCGAUGCACAACUGGUUGAUAUUCCAGUACCGCCAUAUACGCGCAAAGGCCAAAUUUAGCGACGUGGGGGCUGCCUUCGGGCGAACCCGCUUAGUUGGAGGCGGUUAACUGAAGGGGGACGCAGGAGGAUAGAUGAACCGGGGCGAUGGUAGUCCCCGGGUAAGUGCGUAGAAGGACUUCGAUGAGAGUUGAGGUCACAUACUUCGAGACACGAUGCCGAUCACAUUUGUGAGAAGUCAUUAAUUCCAUGCUGCCAAGAAAAGCCCAGCAGUGAGUAGAUAUGGCGCCCGUACCCCAAACCGACACAGGUGGGCAGGUAGAGAAUACCGAGGCGAUCGGGAGAACUAUGGUUAAGGAACUCGGCAAAAUGCCUCCGUAACUUCGGAAGAAGGAGGACCCACGUAGGGUGAAGAGACUUCGCGUCUCCAGCCUGAAUGGGUGGCACAGAGCAGGGGGUAGCGACUGUUUAACAAAAACACAGCAGCGUGCGAAGCCGCAAGGCGCGGUAUACGCUGUGACGCCUGCCCAAUGCUGGAAGGUCACGAGGAACGGUUAGCCGUAAGGCGAAGCUGUGAAUCUAAGCCCCAGUGAAUGGCGGCCGUAACUAUAACGGUCCUAAGGUAGCGAAAUUCCUUGUCGGGUAAGUUCCGACCUGCACGAAUGGCGUAAC